This 249-nucleotide long non-coding RNA is filed under the name Elaeis guineensis (African oil palm). Its description in RNAcentral is "long non-coding RNA (EGUI_LNC001274)". The record is from RNAcentral. Lineage: Eukaryota; Viridiplantae; Streptophyta; Magnoliopsida; Arecales; Arecaceae.
CCUCUAGCUUGAAUCUUAGAUAUUAACCGAUUAACUGAAAUCGAUUACAUAGACUGGCUCACAAACUUAAAAAUUAUUUUUAAUUUUAAAAAAUUAAGCUACGUUCUCUAUCAAGUUAUUCUAAUAUUAACAACUUGUCCAACACAUAGUCAACGAGCUAUACUUGAUGAGUAGAUAGACAAUGACAAUAAAGAUAGGUGCUAUGCAUGAGCACAUGCUCACUGUCUACAACAUGUUGAUUCAUCUGUA